Molecule: long non-coding RNA, 1931 nt
Filed under: Carassius auratus (goldfish)
Lineage: Eukaryota; Metazoa; Chordata; Actinopteri; Cypriniformes; Cyprinidae
Description: lncRNA (ENSCARG00000052134.1)
Source: RNAcentral
AUGGCUGAGCUAGAUUUAUCUGAAGAGGCCAAUGUGAAAUCAAGUAGCUCUGAAAUACAGCCAGGACAGAAGGCAUCAAGGCUUAUCCAACCCCAAACCCCUGAGAUCAAGGAGACUGAAGUUCAAAAAGAUGAUAAAGAGAAGCAACAUGAAGUCACUGAUGCAGAAACAUCAAGCCAAAUGGAUGUUCACACUGGAGAAGGCACUGAGUCAGGGUCUGUAGUUCACCAACACGAUGUCCCAGUGUUGGAGAGCCAUGAUGAGGUUGACAAAAACACCACUGAAGCGGCUUCAAAUAAAGCAAAAUCCCUUCAAAAGCCUCCUAAAGUAGCUAAAGGUAGAAACAAGAACAGAAAACCAGCUGGUGUAAAAAAAGCAAACAAUGUCAGUAAUAAAAAGCACAACGCAUGUAAAUCUGAACAUAAGAACACAACUGACUCAGAAAGCCUUCCAACAUCUGAAGUCAGGUUGCCGGACACCAUAGACACUUCACUGACUGUGUCUUCAGACUUUAGUCAGCCAAACACUGCAAAGCCAUUGGGCACACAAGACAAACUAACAGUGGACACUGUGCAGAAAGAGACCUUGAAUCAAACUGAGACAGUGGAUGGACAUUUUGAAAAUGCUAGCUUCUCACUAGCCGGAGAUGACCAUGUUAGUACCACAGAUAGUGUGCUUUUAGCAGCAGUGGAGUCUGUGCAGUCAACACAUACAGGGGACUCCGAAUUAACCCCAACGGAUUCUUCAUCUAUUGUGACAGCUGACUGUAAAACACGAAUUCUUACCGCAGUCCUAUCAGAGUCACAGCUCGGCCAAGCUGAAGCUCGGAGGACAGAGGAUUCAGAUGGCACUUUCCCUUUGCAAUAUGAAGAAAUGCACAGAUUCAAUUCACAUCCAUCUGCCAGGAAUAAAAUGCCCCAAAACAGAGGAUCAGUACCAGACGGUGAGGAUAAAACGAGGCCUAUGGAGCAGCCUACUGGGACACAUGUGUGGGCCGUUUUACUGAACACCAUCACUAAUGUUCAGCCACUACUGGUGACCAGUCACAGUUCUGAGGAAUCUAGAUCAAGGAAAGAUUCCUUGUUUCAGAAUUCAUCGCUCUUCGAGUCUGAGAGCAGUCUGGCAUGGGCUGUCCUGUGGGUGUUCAGAUGUCGGUACCAACCGGCCAAACUCAGCAUUGCACAUAUGACUCAUCAGCUGGAAGAAGCUGAGAUCUGCCGGCAGUAUGUCUUAGAGAAGGUGGCUAGACUGCCUCAAAGUGAAUCUAGUGCAGGAUGCUCUACAAAGCCUGAGCAGACCAUAGAGGGCAGAUGGAAUACAGUACUGAUGGAAACCUCAACUAUGGUGGAGUACAAAAAGACACAGCUCCAGCAGGUCACACAGUACCACCAGCAAAAACAGGCUCUCGCAGAUACUUUACACAACCUGAACAAUGAGCUCAGCGCACUAACACAGUGAGCAUCCUUGACUUCUUCUGUGUGUGUGUCUCUGUGUGUGUGUGUGUUCAGGUAAACCCUACAAAAUUCUUGUCCUUGUAGGGACAGUUUUUGGUCUCCAUGAGGAAAACAGCUUAUCAGUUAUACUAAACGAAGGGUUUUUUUUUUCUACUGAAAGUUUGAUGUGAGGGGUUGGUUUAGGGGUAGGGCAAGGGUAUAGAAAAUACAAUUUAUAGAGUAUAAAAUCGUUACACCCAUGGAAUGUCCCCAUUAAACACAGAAACUCAAUGUGUGUGAGUGUGUCAAUUAAUCUUUACCAUAGGUGAGAUGAUUCUAAAAUGUGUUUACCUUUAUCUGUGCCUUAGUGUUCAUACUUUAAUUGAAAAUAAAUCAAUUUGUAAUAUAAUUAAUAUUCUUCAAAUGUUGAAAAGUAACCAAAUUCUCACAUUUUUUGAAGGGAUUGCAUUGAAAGCAGCACCUUGCAAGUGGAGAAGC